Long non-coding RNA from Cygnus olor (mute swan), 1101 nucleotides. RefSeq lists it as uncharacterized. The record is from RefSeq and is a predicted model, not a curated record. The transcript is spliced from 3 exons. Lineage: Eukaryota; Metazoa; Chordata; Aves; Anseriformes; Anatidae.
AGAAGUUGAGGGCUUAAACAGGCUGUGUUCUACCCUUAAAAUAUAUAUAUUUCAUUUUUUUUUUUAAGUGAUUAGUAUUCUCUGCUUUUUCCUUCUCUUUCAUAUCCUAAAGGCUAGUGAGAGCAUGCAUAGGUAAGGGUGUAUAUAUAUUUACCUGGAAGAUCUGAUACUCCUGAGGGAUUUGAUAUUUGCUGGAAGCUUCUUCUUUUCCCCUUGAGGUGAAGUGCAACUACUUUGUGACAGAGCUUGGAAACAAAUGGAAGUAGGGCAAAAAUAAAAAACACAAAAGCCUGGGAGGACAGAAAACCUCAAGCUGUGAAGUUGAAGCUGCAGGUUGUGAGAGAGAGGCGUCACCCAAGAAUUCAUAUUAAUGCCAGAAAAACCCAAACCCACCUUUUACUUGCUCACAGUCCUUCACAUCAAAGGAACCCAUCGUUUCUUCCAUGCAAAUGCUGUGGGGAUUGCUUCACCCAGGACUGGAAAGCAGCCAAGCUGCAUAGCAUAAUAGCUACUCUGCAGUCCACAGCAAUGUUAUAUACCACUAAGAACCAGGAGUGGAUUGCUGGCUUUAAAUCUGAUACACAUUUGCAGCAAACAUUGAGAAAGCAUUUAAUUUCUGGUUUUUGACCAUAUCUUCUUUAAUGUGCAGUUUCAUGAGCCUUAUGGUAUGAACUUGAAUUUCAACUUUUUUCAGGCUCAAUAAUAUUACACAGUCCUACAAACUGCAUGACUACCUGCAGAAUCGCACUGAAUGGUUAAGCUUGGAAGGGACCUCUGGAGGUCAUCUGGUCCAACCACCCUGCUCAAACACACUCUGCCUCAUAACAAGUGCAAAAUGGCAUCCUACCUUUGCAACCCCUGUUAAAGACUCAUCUCAGCUCAUUUAUUGGGCAUUAGGUCAGCUCCUAAUGAAGUUAAGGUUUUUGUUGCUUUCUGGGUUUCUCACAGCAACUCUAGAAGUCCUUAAAAACAGUUAUUUUGCCAUGCAUGAUGUCUCAGGUCACCACACUGAGGAAAAUUCCUUAAUUCUUCCAACCUGAAAUUUCUCUCCAUUGCAGUCCAGUUAAUUUGCAGGCAUUUAAAACCAGCUCUGUAACUUAU